CCUACGGGUGGCAGCAGUGGGGAAUAUUGGACAAUGGGGGGAACCCUGAUCCAGCCAUGACGCGUGUGUGAAGAAGGCCCUCGGGUUGUAAAGCACUUUCAGUGAGGAAGAACGCCUGGUGGUUAAUACCCAUCAGGAAAGACAUCACUCACAGAAGAAGCACCGGCUAACUCCGUGCCAGCAGCCGCGGUAAUACGGAGGGUGCGAGCGUUAAUCGGAAUUACUGGGCGUAAAGCGCGCGUAGGUGGCUUGAUAAGCCGGUUGUGAAAGCCCCGGGCUCAACCUGGGAACGGCAUCCGGAACUGUCAAGCUAGAGUGCAGGAGAGGAAGGUAGAAUUCCCGGUGUAGCGGUGAAAUGCGUAGAGAUCGGGAGGAAUACCAGUGGCGAAGGCGGCCUUCUGGACUGACACUGACACUGAGGUGCGAAAGCGUGGGUAGCAAACAGGAUUAGAUACCCUAGUAGUC
RNAcentral lists this ribosomal RNA (465 nucleotides) under Vreelandella stevensii. Its description in RNAcentral is "partial 16S ribosomal RNA". It matches the Rfam family "Bacterial small subunit ribosomal RNA", at positions 338 to 795 of the family's 1533-position model. The record is from RNAcentral. Lineage: Bacteria; Pseudomonadati; Pseudomonadota; Gammaproteobacteria; Oceanospirillales; Halomonadaceae.